This 651-nucleotide long non-coding RNA is filed under the name Dromaius novaehollandiae (emu). RNAcentral's name for it is "lncRNA (ENSDNVG00000009711.1)". The record is from RNAcentral. Lineage: Eukaryota; Metazoa; Chordata; Aves; Casuariiformes; Dromaiidae.
CAGGCGUGUCUUCCGCGUUUUUAACGGUAGUGGUGGUGGUGUCGGAUAGCGGUCCGCCCCGUUCCGCGGCUUGGCCGGGGCACCCUGGAGGUGGCAGCUCGCCUCCCGCCCGUGCCUGGCUUCGCUGCGACGCUGCAGGUUGGCACUUCCUCUUCGGCCCCUGCGUCCGAGGCGGCUCCAUUUCUGUGCUGUGGUAAAACCAAGAGGUCAUAAGCAUUUGUGUAUUAACCGCUACAGUAACAGCAGAGGAGAAGGAAAGGCCGAGCAUCAACAACAACAACAGUCUGUAAAUGUAUACUUCUGGCUACAUGGAAGAAUGAUCAGACUUUUAUGUUUGCCUCAACACAAAGCUGAAAUCUUUGAAAUACUUGCCUACAGAACAGCAGUAACUUAAGAAAUUCAGUGGGAUAACUUGUACAGCACUGCAGAGACAGAUCGUCAGCUGCUAACUCAGCAGAACUUGGCAUGACUGAGAAUGUCAGUGGAGAAAGAAUCCUUCAAUGGCUGAGAAGAAAACUUCUGUAUUGCCAGAAAGAUGCAAAGUAACUCUUCUCAAAGGUAAAUUCCAGCCUUUAGGCCUGUUCCCUAGUAUUUAAGAGAAACCUAGUUUUCAUCCUCAUGGAACAGGGUAAUAGAAUGAGUGGAUAAUGG